CCUACGGGGGGCAGCAGUGAGGAAUAUUGGUCAAUGGUCGGGAGACUGAACCAGCCAAGCCGCGUGAGGGAUGAAGGUACGGAGUAUCGUAAACCUCUUUUGUCAGGGAACAAAGGCGGGGACGUGUCCUCGGAUGAGUGUACCUGAAGAAAAAGCAUCGGCUAACUCCGUGCCAGCAGCCGCGGUAAUAGGGGGGAUGCGAGCGUUAUCCGGAUUUAUUGGGUUUAAAGGGUGCGCAGGCGGUAUGUUAAGUCAGCGGUCAAAGCCCGGGGCUCAACCCCGAACCGCCGUUGAUACUGGCAGUCUCGAGUGGGAGAGAGGUAUGCGGAAUGCGCGGUGUAGCGGUGAAAUGCAUAGAUAU
Molecule: ribosomal RNA, 361 nt
Filed under: uncultured bacterium
Lineage: Bacteria
Description: partial 16S ribosomal RNA
Rfam family: Bacterial small subunit ribosomal RNA
Source: RNAcentral